UGACCUGCCCUCCACCCCCUCACGCCAAGAGGGGCAAAGUCUGGAGAGUUUCCCCAGUGAGAGGUACUGGGAAAAUGACUCCCUGGUCCUGGGUAAAACUUUUCUUUCUUUGUCAACCUCAGGAGCAAGUUAGUUUAUGGCCAAGUAUAUACACAGUGCUUCAAAUGCAAAGGAAGAAUCUCUCUCUUCAAAUGGUUUCAGGCUUAGAUGGGGAAGAAAUCUCUACACUCUAGAAAUGAAAUGAUGAAAGGACUUCACAAAGCAGUGGUACUCCCGAGCGAGCCAGGGGACUCACAGGCAGGACCGUAGAGCAGAGAAGACACUGGAGCUUUGGUGCUUGGAAAGACCUCCCUGAAAUCCUGGCUUGGCCACUGCCAACCUUAGCCUGUCAGCUCCACAAGGGCAGGACUGUGACCCGCUGAUAGCCAUGUGAACCUUUCACCAUGGUUCAUGUGCAUGGAAGGUGCUAGAAAAUAGCCAUCAAAUGAAGGACAAGAAGAAUGGCUGGGGACAGCUCUGGCGACAUCUUCUUGCUUUAGUGACGACAAAACUGAAAAAUGUUGGGCUCUCAUGCUGCCCAAACAUUCCACAGACAAGGACCAAGUACUGGGCUGGCUGGGGAAGUCCGGAAAAGAACAUCAUUGCUGACAUCAAGAAGGCCCUAGAAGGGGAGACAGGGGAGUAAACACCUGCCAUGGAAGGUGCCAAGUGCUAUGGU
This 718-nucleotide long non-coding RNA is filed under the name Callithrix jacchus (white-tufted-ear marmoset). RNAcentral describes it as "lncRNA (ENSCJAG00000057600.2)". Lineage: Eukaryota; Metazoa; Chordata; Mammalia; Primates; Cebidae. The record is from RNAcentral.